Molecule: ribosomal RNA, 932 nt
Filed under: uncultured bacterium
Lineage: Bacteria
Description: bacterial SSU rRNA
Rfam family: Bacterial small subunit ribosomal RNA
Source: RNAcentral
AGAGUUUGAUCCUGGCUCAGGACGAACGCUGGCGGCGUGCCUAACACAUGCAAGUCGUGCGAGAAAGCCCCUUCGGGGGUGAGUACAGCGGCGGACGGGUGAGUAACACGUGAGUGAUCUACCCGGCGAUGGGGGACAACCCAGGGAAACCUGGGCUAAUACCGCAUACAGCGGAGGGAGUAGGUGCCCUUCGUGAAAGCUGGCCUCUCCAUGGAAGCUAGCGUCGCCGGAGGAGCUCGCGGCCUAUCAGCUUGUUGGUGGGGUAACGGCCUACCAAGGCUAUGACGGGUAGCUGACGUGAGAGCGUGAGCAGCCACACUGGGACUGAGACACGGCCCAGACUCCUACGGGAGGCAGCAGUGGGGAAUAUUGCGCAAUGGGCGAAAGCCUGACGCAGCGACGCCGCGUGGGGGAGGAAGGCCUUAGGGUUGUAAACCCCUGUCAGGUGGGACGAAACCCGGGUCGGUAAAUAAUCGGCUCGACUGACGGUACCACCAGAGGAAGCUCCGGCUAACUCCGUGCCAGCAGCCGCGGUAAUACGGGGGGAGCGAGCGUUGUUCGGAAUCACUGGGCGUAAAGGGCGCGUAGGCGGCCGAGUAAGUCGUGUGUGAAAGACCGGGGCUCAACUCCGUGUACUGCAUGCGAUACUGCUCGGCUAGAGAAAGGUAGAGGCGAGUGGAAUUCCCGGUGUACGGUGGAAUGCGUAGAUAUCGGGAAGAACACCUGUGGCGAAGGCGGCUCGCUGGGCCUUUUCUGACGCUGAAGUGCGAAAGCGUGGGGAGCAAGCAGGAUUAGAUACCCUGGUAGUCCACGCCGUAAACGAUGGGCACUAGGCGUUGGGAGGAUUGACCCUCUCAGUGCCGUAGCUAACGCGUUAAGUGCCCCGCCUGGGGAGUACGGCCGCAAGGCUGAAACUCAAAGGAAUUGACGGG